UCUUUGUUCGGUCAACAAAGCCGAGUUGAAGACCACCGAGCGAAGCUGCUUCUCCUCUUUGCCGCGCCAAUUGAAGCCAGCAAAGCCUGCAGCAGUCAAUCCGCCCAUUUCUCCUCUUGCGUGUGUCUUCGGUCAGCUGAAGUCCAUGCCCCCAGCCACCGAGUCAAGCGAAGUCGCACGCCAGCGAAGCCCGUAAUUUCCAGCGUCUUCGGCCCAUUCUAACUGCAGCCCAACAUUAGUUCAGUCCGUCGCUUCAGUCCGCGUGAAUUUUGGGCCCAUCUUCAAAUUAGAAAAGCCCAAGUAACAGCUUAGCCCAGGAGUUGAUCAAUUUGCGGCUCGGGUCCGCAACUGCAGCCCAUCUUCUGUUUUCAGCCCACAAGACCAAGAGGCCCAGCAACC
This 399-nucleotide long non-coding RNA is filed under the name Eucalyptus grandis. RNAcentral describes it as "long non-coding RNA (EGRA_LNC007350)". The record is from RNAcentral. Lineage: Eukaryota; Viridiplantae; Streptophyta; Magnoliopsida; Myrtales; Myrtaceae.